GGUAAAAACCUUGUGUAGCAGGUGUGCCCAUAAUCAUUUCCUGUCAGUAAUGGAGUCCGGAGGAGUAGGAAGCUACUAGCGUUAGCUUGCUGCUUCUAAUGGUGCUCAGCUGUAACAAGGCAAAACUUAGUUACGAAGUUUUCACAAAAUAACUCUGACACAAAGAGAAAAAGAGAGUAAGUUCAGUCGGCAUUCUCAAUGUUUUCCCAUUCAGCCAGUAGGUAGACAAACGUAAAGUAGCGUUAGCUGCUAAUUCAGCACUAAAACAACCUGCUGGCACCAACUUUCCCGGACGUGGAGGAAAUACAGAAGUUUAAUGGACAAAGAAGAGGCACUUUUCAUCACUUGGUAAAGUAGCCUACUGGACGUCUGGCUUGGCAUCAGUGGUGACAUACUGAACUUUGGUAAUAUUCACCUGAGAGAAAACUGGCUGAUGAAUAAUUGGACUAUGGAAUAUUAUCAUUGAAGACAUCAAAGAGACUUGAGAGCUCAGGUCAGUUACAGAGCAGCACCACUGGACCUGCAGGAAAAGAGACAGAUGCAAGCUGGGAUUCCUGCAUAUAAGGAGUUUGCUGUGGUUCAACACAAUCUGGGUGCAUUGACCAAGUCCCACAGCCUGUCUCUGUUGACUGGUGACCUGUCUGAGCCUUGCUACAGCACAUCAUUAUCCAGGCCACCUGCUAGUCUGGCAACAGAUGGGAGAGGCUUACCUCGCGCGCCCCCCGACUGACAGCUCAAGUCAUGCAAGCAGACGUUUGUCAAUGACAACCACAACAAACUCUGCAUGACACUUGUACGUUCAAACACUUCCCAUAUUAAGUGUUGGUUCAGAGUCAAUGAGAGAGAAGUUAUACUGAGAAAUGAAUGAAAUGCAAAGGAGGUUCUGGACAGAUUGUAGAUCUACAGAGUCUUGAGUUCAGCUGGGAUCACUACAACUGUGUUGAUUAAAGCGAAAACAUUUUUAAAGGCUAAAUCUGUAUGUUUUCAUAUAUUGUCACAGAAGAGAGGUAACUGUAUUGUUGUUUAAAGGACAGAGCCUCUAGCGUCAUUUCUGUGGCUACUGUUCGACGAACAUGGCUAACAUAAAGCCUUCCAUAUGAUGUACAAAAUAUGGCCUAUAUACAAACUACAGUAUGGCUUAGUAAGAGGGCCACAACUUCUGUUAAGUAAUCUCAUGCAACGUUAUUUUUAGGCAUACUAGCAGCAUGGCUCAAGGGAUGACAAAGGCAAUGUCCUUGCAAGCACAUUAGCAUGCUGACCUUAGCAUUUAGCUGAAACCACUGCUCUGCCUAAGUACAGCCUUACAGCGGCACAUUUCAAAAAGUUAGAUUUUGUAGUGGUUUAACAUUAUAAAAGUAAAAGGUUGAGCCAAAAUUCUCUUUUUG
This is a long non-coding RNA of Sander lucioperca (pikeperch), 1385 nucleotides long. RefSeq lists it as uncharacterized. NCBI's taxonomy places the organism in Eukaryota, Metazoa, Chordata, Actinopteri, Perciformes, Percidae. The transcript is spliced from 4 exons. The record is from RefSeq and is a predicted model, not a curated record.